RNAcentral lists this ribosomal RNA (454 nucleotides) under uncultured bacterium. RNAcentral describes it as "partial 16S ribosomal RNA". It matches the Rfam family "Bacterial small subunit ribosomal RNA", at positions 29 to 523 of the family's 1533-position model. The record is from RNAcentral.
AACGAACGCUGGCGGCAGGCUUAACACAUGCAAGUCGAACGCAUCCUUCGGGGUGAGUGGCAGACGGGUGAGUAACGCGUGGGAACGUGCCCUUCAGUUCGGGAUAACCCAGGGAAACUUGGGCUAAUACCGGAUACGUGCGAGAGCAGAAAGAUUUAUCGCUGAAGGAUCGGCCCGCGUCUGAUUAGCUAGUUGGUGGGGUAAUGGCCCGCCAAGGCGACGAUCAGUAACUGGUCUGAGAGGAUCAUCAGCCACAUUGGGAAUGAGACACGGCCCAAACUCCUACGGGAGGCAGGAGUGGGGAAUAUUGGACACUGGGCGCAAGCCUGAUCCAGCCAUGCCGCGUGAGUGAUGAAGGCCUUAGGGUUGUAAGCCUCUUUUAGUAGGGAAGAAGCGAAAGUGACGGUACCUGCAGAAAAAGCACCGGCUAACUACGUGCCAGCCGCCGCAGUAA